UACGUAGGUGGCAAGCGUUGUCCGGAAUUAUUGGGCGUAAAGCGCGCGCAGGUGGUUUCUUAAGUCUGAUGUGAAAGCCCACGGCUCAACCGUGGAGGGUCAUUGGAAACUGGGGAACUUGAGUGCAGAAGAGGAAAGUGGAAUUCCAAGUGUAGCGGUGAAAUGCGUAGAGAUUUGGAGGAACACCAGUGGCGAAGGCGGCAUUCUGGACCGAAACUGACGCUGAGGCGCGAAAGCCAGGGGAGCAAACGGG
Molecule: ribosomal RNA, 253 nt
Filed under: uncultured bacterium
Lineage: Bacteria
Description: partial 16S ribosomal RNA
Rfam family: Bacterial small subunit ribosomal RNA
Source: RNAcentral